RNAcentral lists this long non-coding RNA (3329 nucleotides) under Homo sapiens (human). RNAcentral describes it as "HSALNT0254123". Lineage: Eukaryota; Metazoa; Chordata; Mammalia; Primates; Hominidae. The record is from RNAcentral.
AGGCCUGCGGCGGGUGGACGGGGAGGAGAUGGGAGCACUGGUGAGGGUGCCCAUGCGUUGUGGGACGCAGGCUCGUGGGCAGCUUCAGGGGCCGGGAGAUCAGAGUCACCCAGUGCCCGACUCAGAAGUGAAAAUGCCUCUAGCUGACCCCAGCCCCCCGUGGUUCUGGUGACCUGGCUGAGGUCUGGACGCGUGGAGUGGGGACAGGAUGCCCCCUGGUCCCAUCAGUUCCUGACCACUUGAGCCGGGGUGGGCUUUGCGUCACUAGGUGGGGGGGGGGUCUGUCAGACCACUGUCACAAGCUGGCUGUCAUGAGCUUCUACCUCACUCAGGUACAGUGGGGUGGGCGAGGCAGGCAGGGCAUGGGGGUGCUGAGAGGCGGCCUGUGGCCCUGAAGCUCUGCUGUCCCCGCCCCCGGCUUCCCAAGGUCCUCGUCGCCUCGCGGUUCCCCCAGGGGUCCUCAAAAUCUCCCUAAGAGCCAGGGACGUUGGGGCCCCGAGAUACAGAUGAGGAAACAGAGGCCAUAUAUAUGGCAGUGCGGAGACUGGACCGCGUCUCAACUCAGAGGACUAUGUGGUGCCCAGAUGUUCCCGUCCUGCAUCCUCCCCACCACUCCUGUUCCACCGCCUCCUAAACCGUCUCCUCCUCCGGAACCCUCCGUAGCUCCUGCGGACCAAAGGAUGCAAAGAUGCCCAGGCAGGCCGGAUGCAGCAGCUCACGCACCAGCACCAUAAGAGACCCAGGCAGGAGGAUCACUUGAGCCUGGGAGUUCAAGACCAACCUGGGGCAACAUGGCGAGACCUCAUCUCUACAAAAAUCUUAAAAAUUAGCUGGGUGGCCAGGCGAGGUGGCUCAUGCCUGUAACUCCAGCACUUUGGGAGGCCGAGGGGGGGCGGAUCACCUGAGGUCGGAAGUUCGAGACCAGCCUGACCAACAUGGAGAAACCCCGUCUCUACUAAAAAUGCAAAAUUAGCCGGGCGUGGUGGCGCAUGCCUGUAAUCCCAGCUACUCGGGAGGCUGAGGCAGGAGAAUCGCUUGAACCAUCAGGCAGAGGUUGCAGUGAGCCGAGAUCGUGCCAUUGCACUCCAGCCUGGGCGACGAGAGAGACUCCGUCUCAAAAACAACAAAAACAAAAACGUGAAAUUCACACAGUGAGCUCCAACUUCGUGGUGGUCACCAGACGGCUGAAUGGGCCCCCUUCCGUGCAGUGCAGUAUUUACCAAAUUCCUAAGAGCAGGGCUGGGGCUUAGAUGUGUCUUACCGUGCCCGGCCCAGGGCUCUGCACACAGUAAGUGCUCAAUACGUGCUUGCACGUCAGUGUGAUUCCUAGGUGAGUGUUCCAUAGCCCCAAAAACACCCAAGCACAGUGUUCAUCAAUCCAUCCCCCCUUUUCCCAGCGGACCUGCCUCUCAGAUCAUCAGUCUUUUUUUUUUUUUUGAGAUGGAAUCUCGCUCUGUCACCCAGGCUGCAGUGUAGUGGUGUGAUCUCCACUCACUGCAACCUCCACCUCCCGGGUUCACGCCAUUCUGCCUCAGCGUCCCGAGCAGCUGGGACUACAGGUGCCUGCCACCACGCCCGGCUAAUUUUUUGUAUUUUUAGUAGAGACGGGGUUUCACCGUGUUAGCCAGGAUGGUCUCGAUCUCCUGACCUCAUGAUCUGCCCGCCUCAGCCUCCCAAAGUGCUGGGAUGACAGGCGUGAGCCACCGGCACCCGGCCCAUCAGUCACUUUUUCUUUUCUCUUUUUUUUUUUUUUCUUUCUUUUUGAGAUGGAGUCUCCUUCUGUUGCCCAGGUUGAAAUGCAGUGGUGCUAUCUCGGCUCACUGCAAGCUUCACCUCCUGGAUUCAAGCUAUUCUCCUGCCUCAGCCUCCCAAGUAGCUGGGACUACAGGCAUCCGCCACCACGCCCGGCUAAUUUUUUUGUAUUUUUAGUGGAGAUGGGAUUUCACCGUGUUGGCCAGGAUGGUCUCAAUCUCCUGACCUUGUGAUCUGCCCGCCUCGGCCUCCCAAAGUGCUGGGAUUACAGGCAUGAGCCACCGCGCCUGGCCCAUCAGUCUUUUUCUACGAUAGCGCCUGGCUGCCCCUCCACCAGGUGGGAGAAAGGGCACAGGGCCUCAGGUGUCCUCCCUGGCCUUGCCAAGAAGGGUGACCUGAGGUCCAGGGCCUCCAGCAAGCAGGUGCCGCUGCUCGUCGUCCUGGUGUGGGUCUGGCCGCACCCAGGGUGGUUUGUGAAGGCAGGCUCCGUGGCUCUGGGCUCCAGUCCAGGCUGUGUCCUGGAGCUUCUGUGUAAGGUCAGGAGAGUCGCACAGUCCCUGUGAGCCUCAGUUUCCCCUUAUGGGAUAUGGGUCAUAGGAACACGGCCUCGAAGGGUUUCUGUGCACCUGAGUCUCAGCCCACAGCCUUGCACACAGAAGACGCUCACAUUCCCCUUGGUAAGCAAAGGGAAACGGUAUGAGCCAGACCAGGAGGGGACACCCAUGCCUGGCGGGCCUUCGCGCGUGUGUGUGUGUGUGUGUGGCAAGGGCGCCGCCGUGUGGCCGCGUCAGCCCCACGGAAGCGCUGGACCCGGAACUUCGCUGUAUUCUCCGUUCUUGCGCUUUUAUCUGUAGCUUCCCGCGUUCCUCUUUUUUUAAUGUUUCUGUUUUUGUUUUGAGACAGAGUCUCGCUCUGUCACCCAGGUCGGAGUACAGUGGUGCGAUCUCAGCUCACUGCAACCUCCGCCUCCCGGGUUCAAGCUAUCCUCCUGCCUCAGCCUCCUGAGUAGCUGGGGCUACAGGUGCCCACCACCACGCUCAGCUAAUUUUUUUUUGUAUUUUUAGUAGACACGGGGUUUCACCAUGUUGGUCAGGCUGAUCAGGAACUCCUGACCUCAAAUGAUCCGCCCGCCUCGGCCUCCCAAAGUGCUGGGAUUACAGGCGUGAGCCACCACGCAGAAUUUUUUUUUUUUUUUUGUAGAGAGAGACAAGGUUUCACUCUGUUGCCCAGGCUGGAGGGCAGUGGUGCAAUCACAACUCACUGCAGCCUCAGCCUCCUGCGUUCAAGUCAUCCUCCCACCUCAGCCUCCUGAGUAGCUGGAACUACAAGCACCCACCUCCAUGCCCGCCAAUUGCCCAGCUAAUUUUUUAUUUAUUUGUAGAGAUGGAGUCGCGCUACGUGGCCCAUGCUGAUCUCGAACUCCUGAGAUCCAAUGAUCCUCCCACCUCGGCCUCCCCUUCUGCAUAUAGUAGGUGCUCAAUAAAGACCAACCAGAUGCAGGAGUGGAUGACUUCAUUGCUCGGGACUUUGUUGCUUGGGUGACCCUGACCUUCAGGCCCCGGCACCCUAGGCCAGGA